AGUGACAGGUGGUGCAUGGUUGUCGUCAGCUCGUGUCGUGAGAUGUUGGGUUAAGUCCCGCAACGAGCGCAACCCUUAAGGUUAGUUGCCAUCAUUAAGUUGGGCACUCUAAGGUGACUGCCGGUGACAAACCGGAGGAAGGUGGGGAUGACGUCAAAUCAUCAUGCCCCUUAUGACUUGGGCUACACACGUGCUACAAUGGACAAUACAAAGGGCCGCGAAACCGUGAGGUCAAGCUAAUCCCAUAAAGCCGAUCUCAGUUCGGAUUGUAGUCUGCAACUCGCCUACAUGAAGUCGGAAUCGCUAGUAAUCGUAGAUCAGCAUGCUGCGGUGAAUACGUUCCCGGGCCUUGUACACACCGCCCGUCACACCACGAGAGUU
Molecule: ribosomal RNA, 381 nt
Filed under: Staphylococcus aureus
Lineage: Bacteria; Bacillati; Bacillota; Bacilli; Caryophanales; Staphylococcaceae
Description: bacterial SSU rRNA
Rfam family: Bacterial small subunit ribosomal RNA
Source: RNAcentral